RNAcentral lists this long non-coding RNA (6357 nucleotides) under Hordeum vulgare. Its description in RNAcentral is "long non-coding RNA (HVUL_LNC012590)". The record is from RNAcentral. Lineage: Eukaryota; Viridiplantae; Streptophyta; Magnoliopsida; Poales; Poaceae.
GGAUUUGAUCUUUGGACCUUCAAGAUGUUGCCUCACUGGGACAACCAACUCCACUAAAGUAGACAUGUGAUAUAGGGUGGAUUUGGUCUUAUAUAAACCACACGUGCAAGCUGGUAGAAACUGAGACAACCAAAACAAAUAAAAAUGCAGGGUCCACUGGAUUCGAACUCACAACCUUGCGGUAGAGUCCGAAUGCUCUAGCCAGGUGGGUACAAACAUUCUCGUGGUAAACUACAACAACAAUUUUAGAAAGCCUCAAUAUGCCACAAUGGAUCUAACCAAAAACGAAAUAUUUCAUAUUGGAGCCAACUUCCUGGAAAAAAUUGCCUUUCACUUUCAUAGGGAAUCGUGCUUGUUUGCAAGGUGACUUUCCUCGCAAAAAUAGUGUGUCAUUUACGCUAGCAGGGAUACGAAAGAUACAUAUUGAAUUGGCUAGACAGGCGUAUCAAAAGCUUUGAUUUUCUCUUCUUGGUUCACACGGAUUAACGGAUGGUUCCCGUGCAUAGCCGGCGUGGAAGUUUCCUUUUUUAGCACCCAAAAACCUGCAGUUUACUAGGAGAAUCUAGAAUUGCUAGAUUUGGGUACAUAGCUGGCAUGGAAGUUUUCAAAAAGAAGCCAGUCUUUUUUGGAUUGGGAAUCCCCUGUUCUCCAUCACAACUGACCACUCACACAAUCUAAAGAAAGAACUUGUUCGGUUCUUGGAGAAUUGAAGGGUUUUGAAAAGAAUUGAAAGGAAUUAAAUCCGCUACAAGUUAAAUUCCACCUCAAUCCCCUUCAAUCCUCCUCUUCAGUCCCCUCCUGGCUGGGAUUAACAGAGGGAAACAGCGCCCGCGGAGGCUAGCGUGGGGCCAGCUUGAUGCGGGGCCAGGCUGGGCAGCUGGGCCUGCUCGGCUUGGCCCUAGCGAAGGUGCCCGCCCACCCAUGCACGAGUGCGGUCGAGGUGGUUCCCGUCUCUCCCGACAGGAGAGCGCAGCAGCGCUGGUCACGGGUCAACGGGCCAUGGCGCAAGGCAGGCUAGGGAUUCACUCCGGCAAGUCUUGGAGACUCCGGUCGGCUGGCGAUUGGGAUUGACGGAUCCGACCAAGGGGAGCCGAUUCCCGAUGGCGGCGAGAUGAACUCGAGAUCUGAGAGGCGGCCAUGGCUUGCUGUUGCUCCUGCGGAAGGAGAGAGACAGAGGGAUGAACAAGGUGAGAGAGAGGUGAAACGGGAAAAAAAGAGGAGGGAUGCAGGGGAUGAGUAGGGCAACGCAUGUCCAACGAGGUAGAGGAGGGGCGCUCCGGCCUGGCUUGCCCGGUGGCGUUGGGCGAGGCUCUCGGGCGGCAGCAGCUACAGGAGGAGGGAGCUCGGAGCUGGGGAAGCCUCGGGAGGAGCAGCUCCGAGGCGGCACGGGGCUUCAGUCGCUGGCAACAGCUUGCUCUGGCGUUCCAGCCGAUGAGGCCGAUGGGAUGGAGGCGGAUGCGCGACCUGGUCGUGGUGAAGUACGGCGCGGGAGGAGGUUGAGGCGCUCCUGGAUGGCGACGACAGGGAGGGCUCGAGCUGAACCCAGGCCGGCGGCAAGAGCUCUUGCUAGAGGCGAGACGACGACGGAGGAGGCCAUGGCAGUGGUGACCAAAGCCAUGGGAGAUGGGCGCGAGGAGCUGCUCUCUUGUGAGCGUUGCGUGUGAGUGCGGCGCUGGAAGGAGGAGGGGAUGAGAUUGAGGAGAGGAGACCAAGUGGAUGGAUAGGUUUCAAUGGGAGGCUGUGGUCGCCCGAACAUGUCCGGUUUGACCGCGGACAUGUGGGAUAGGUGGGGACUUACGCAUGGAGAUCCAAUCGUUCAGAUUUGGUUCUGAGAUUGUAUUUUGAGGAAGAGAGGAGGUGGAGCUAGCAGGUGGGGAUGAGAGGGAUGUGGUGCGGCCCGGCGAUAGAGUUUAAAAUACAGAAACAUCUCACGCCUCACCCGCUAUAGUACCGCUAUAGGUUUAACAGUUCGGAUAGCAAACGAACUCCGAUCGCGACGGAAAUUUUGCAGGCGGUCUACUACAUUAAAAUAAGACCGCACACCAAGUUUCAACCCAAUCCGAAAAUGUUUUAUACACACUUUUGAAAACAAGAUUUUAAGAUGUUGCGGGCACGUGCGUGUGUAGUUGGUCUCAAAACGGUCACUGACAAAAACGGAGAGAACCGACCACUAAUAACGAAUGCAAGUUUUGAAAACUAGCGGCAACGGAGUGCCAAUGCAAUGCGGAUGAUGCAAAUGAUGCGAUUAUGAGUGAGACAAACAAUAUAAUUACACGGAGGCAACGGAAUAAAAAGGGAAUCUUCUGAAGCGUAGGUCUCGGAUUGUUACAACUCUCCUACACUAACAAGAGAUCUCGCCCCGAUAUCUAAGAAUGAAAAGGGCAAGGGGAAGAGCAAGAGCAAUAGGUAAAACUUACUCGCUACUUUGACAAAUGAGAGAAGCCAAAGAAUCUUGGAGGUUGCAAAGAGAUGAAGAAUGAUAUAAGGAACAAGCAAGAAUUCAAACAAAAUUUCUGCAGCACUUUAGUAGGAAAUUGAGGCAAAAUUGAUAAGAAGAAAGAACUUGACAAGAUUGACAACAAACCAACUAAAUUGAUAAGGAAGGAAAGAACAUGGAAGAAGGCACAACAGCUCGAUUAAAUAAAUAAGAAAGGAAGGAACAUGAUAUUGACAAAACUUUGUAAUGGAUAAAAGAGAGAAACAUCACAAUAACACCGAAACAAGAACAGAAACUAGAUUAUUGGGAAGAAAGAAUGAAGAAGGAAAUGACAACUUGCACCACAAUUGAAUUUGAUGAGCAUCAUAACAAGAAGAAUUGAACGGAAUUGUUGGAAAACCAACAACAAAAAGAACAAGCUUGUAGUGGACUUAUGAAAACCAUCCCAAUAUAAUGAGGUGACAACCAGCCACUAACAGAAACAAUGAUUCAUUAGGAGCAACAAGAUAUGCACAACUUCUUUCAACAAGAAGAUACAUUAAGAGGGUGUAUCAAUGAUAAUCACCAUAAUAGCAACAAUCCUUAGAAAAAGAUUUAGGUGAAAUCUAAACCAAGAUAGCUCAAUGAAGAAAUCACGUGUUAAAAAAAUAUCUCAUGAUCAAAGAAUUGGUGGAUUUAAAUAUCUCAUUCUUGAAAUAAAUUCUCUUCAAGACUCCUCCAGUAACAAGAACGCUAUAAUACCACCACAAAGGAUAAAGGAGGAACAAUUGAACUUUUAAAUGCAAGAGAAAGAAUACUUGAGGUUCUCCAACAAGAAUCUUGAAGAACACUUGAGAAAGAAUUACCACCUUGAAGAACCACCAUGACGAACCUCUUGGAGAACACCAGAACGAAAGGAUGAUAUAAAAGAAUUGAAAGUUGAAAUGAGCAAGAUUAUGGCCUUGCAAAGAUUUAGAUGAAGCUUCACGAAUAGAUACUUGAGAAACUUGCAACUCCGAAAAAGAAAGAUGAAGCACUUGAGAUAAAGAAUUUGAUAUCAUGGGCCGUUCCGGAAGAAGAAUUAAAAUCAUCUUGAAGAAACAACAAUAAGAAUAAUGUAGUGCAUAUCCUUCAUCAACUUAAAUUGAUGACAAGCAACGGAUUUAGCAUACACCUUAUUCUUCUUGAAAAGAUUGAGGAGAGAGAAAGAGCACAAAUUUGAAGAAGUCUUGAAAGAACCACCGGUAAGAAUUUGGAAUGAAAGAGGAUAAUAAAAAUGAACUGGGCUACAUGAGGACAAAGGGAGCACGAUUCAAUUAGAGAAUGCUUGAACAAGGCAUCAAUAAGAACUUCAAGUGAGUGGGCAUACCAUGAAUGAAUGAAGAUACAAGAGAGCGAAGAGAUCAUGAUCUACCUAAAAGAAAAAUUCAACAAGGCACCGAAAUAAUUGAGAUACGAACGAAGGGACGACAAUUGAGAAGAAUUUGAGAUUGAAAGUUGAAAGCUAAGAACGAAGAAAUCUUCUGAAAUGAUGGCCUUUAGAGGAUCGAGAAAUGAAAACAACACUGAAAUGCACUGGAUAGAUAUGAAAAGAAUUACUCAUGAGUGGAAACAAUUUAAGAGGACAGCACAAAGCUGAAUUGACAAUCUUCAAAAGAAUGGACAAGACUUAAGAGAAACACUCCUACGAACUUCCAAGCUGCGGAAGAUGGCAAGAAGCACCAUCAAUAAUUACUGAGACACUCUAGAAGAAAUGAACACGGAAAAGUUGAGCCAAUGAUGAGAAAUAAAUUUGAAGCGAUCUUGAAGAAGGAAUAUGACUGAUGGGAUUCAUAAUUACGUCAUAAUAAAAAUAAUUAGAGAUCUCCGGUAAAAGAUUAGAAGAGCCAGAUAAGAUCCUAGGAAAACUUGUGGGUUAUGGGCCCACUCAAAGAAACCAUCGUUGAAAGAUUGCUCAGGAAGAGAGAUAUUGCACCGGUACAAAUGAAAACUUGAUGAGGUUGAGCACCUCGAAAUAAUUGAAAGGAUUGAGAACAAGAAACUUUUGAGAUAUCUUCAACACUCCGGAUAGAAUAGAGAGGGAUAAAUAAACAAAAGAGACUUGAAUAAGGAUUUCCAACAUGGGAAAGCAUUGAACGAAUCAAAAGGAUAUGAUGAACACCGAAAGCGUGAAUUAAAUCCACCGGAAAAGAACACGGAGACGAUGAAAUGAUGAACUGAAACCCCUGAAAAUCUUCGCAAGGAAUCAUCGGAUACGACACAAAAGAGAAGGUAGAGGAAGCAUUAAUGAAUUGAAAUGCACUUGGAUGAUAAUUAAAUUAUUGGAGAAUAAAGGGAGGGAGGGCGGGGAAAAACAAAGACAACUUGGCACACAUGAGACAAACUCCGGAAAGAAAUGAGGGAUUGAUCUUGCAAAAACUGGGGAAGAUAGAAUUAUCUUGAAGGGAAGCACACUGGUUGAAACAAUUUGACAUGACAACUCCGAUUUGAAAAGAAUUGAUAAGGUAAUUUGAUUGAGCAAAAUGAUUAGCACUCACAUAGAAAUAUGAGAACACCACUUAGGAAAGAUAUGUAAUCACCAGUUGACAUUGAAGCAACACGAAUUACCAUAUUCCAACAAAACAAAGGAUGAGGCUUACGGAAUAAGCCUGAACAUAUUCAUGACAUAGAUUUCACUCGAUAUUUUUGUGGUAAGGUUCGCACGGGUUGUAUCCUACAGUAGUCAUCAUGUACAAGGCAGUGCACACGACAUACGAAGCGUCCCCAAGUUGUAGCAAGCUACAAAGACUCUUUAAGACACAACAAGAACCGUUGUAAGACGAACGUGAACAAACGAAUCCACUAGAUGUCGAACCCCAACCUCACAUCAUGCAUCUGUUGGAAAAUUGUCUUAUAAGUAACUACUUCAAUCCAACCUAAGAACUCGUGACAUUUCUGGUCAUGCAAUCGGGUCCACGGAUACAAGGAGUAAAAUACAUCACUCAACUCCUAGCAAUAACACUACCCGUCCAGCGCAUCACAUCCGUCAGCACAUAACCAGAGAUCUCGGAAACCCAUCUACCUCAGAUCCUCGUAAUCACAACGAUACCAAGUAUGGAAGUACAUCCGGACGUACUCCACUAAUACUGGGGAUGCCGGACUCCUCUCGCCACUACUAGUAUUGAAGCAAUUUCGAACAUCCUACGUCCUGAGAUACUAAGAAAUCUGAAUGAUAACGAUGUGCUCAUUAAUUCCCUGGAGCUCAACAUCUCGAAAGAAAUCAAGUCAGACAGGAGGUACCAAGUCAAAAUUCUGUCACAUCGACAUCAUAUAGAUUCCAAAAUACCCGCGUGACCCUAAACUUUUUUUGAGUGAGAAUAGGAGUAGAAUUAAAAUUCUUAUGUCAAGAUUCCUCACCAGAGCAUAGAAGAGGAGAGAAAAGAAUCCUACUCUCCGAUAUAUAACUAGACUCAAAGCAGUUUUUCACUAGAUUCGACUCAACCAAGUUCCAUCAAUCAAGGGGGCUCCUAGGUUGGUACUGCUCUGAUACCAACUCGUAACGCCCAAGAUGCGACUAUAUCCUUAUUUCUGGCACGAGGGCCUUGAGAAGGAUAGAAACGCAUCUCAUCAUUUCGCAAGAACGGAUAUCAUUACAAGUACAUUACAGAAGAGAUGGGUAUAUGGAAUUGGCUUACACUCUCCACAAGAUACAUCAAGAUUACAUUAAUACAACAAUAACCAGAGAGGGAAAUAGCGCCGGCGGAAGCUAGCGUUGGGCUGGCUUGAUGCAGGACGAGGCUUGGCAGCUGGGCCUGCUCGACUCGGCCCUGCAAAGGUGCAUGCCCACACAUGCGCGAGUACGGUCGAGGUGGUUCCCGUCUCCUCCGACAGAAGAGCGCAGUGGCGCUGGUCAUGGGUCAACCAGCGAUGAUGCAAGGCAGGCUAGGGCUUCGCUCCGGUGA